AUGGGGACUUUUCUUCUGGUACUGGAACCCUGGGCUGGGUGGGGGCCUGGUGUAGGGCUGGGACCCCUGGCUUCUCAGGGGGGACCUCUGCCGUCAAGAUUAUCCUUCCCAAUUUUUAACCACCAUACCGGGCUGUUUCAAAUACCUGCCCCAUCUACGAGUCUUGAGGGCACUACUUCUGUCCAAACGCACAUUUAAAUAAUUACCUUAUCAUAGUGUGAGAGUGAAAUAUCUUAAAUACAGUUUUUUGGCUUAAAAAAACUCACCAGAGGCUUUCCAACAUUAAAUUUGUUUUUGGUGAUUAUAGAUUGUUCAGGGCCCAACUGUACAUUUCUUCUAUGCAAAAGUAUGACAGCGUCCAGAUUUUCUACUCCUUGGAACUGCUGUUUGUUACAAGGAUGCAAAACAAGUGAAGAAAACAGUUACCCAAUUUCGUUAUUUGUAAGUGUGAUUAUUUAUGACUUGAAAUAUUUCUUUGUUAAGUUUCCUUCCAUUUUCCACAUUCCUUGGGUAUCAUACAUUGGCCUUACAUAAUUUGUGAUAAGUUAUACCAAACACAGACUUAAGCAGUAAAUACUUGUGAGAUUAACAUAUCCUUCCUAGGCAUGUUUGCCCAGAAGACUUUAGUGUAUUAAGUGAUCUUGCUUAAAUUCCUCUGCAUAACUAUGUAAUUCAGGCAGUUAUCUAUUGUCAGAUGUUUAGUGUUGUGAGAAUGGGAAUAAAGGUUUUAUGAUUUCCGUUGUAGCUCAGAGGAAUUUAGGCCACAGUGUAAAUUACCUGCCUUAGGUCUGCAUGCUAGUUUGUGGUAUGUAUCCCUUGUUUUUUGCUCAUAGUUCUGUAUCCUUAUCCUUAGUGUAUUGAUACAAUAAUCAAGACUAGCUUGACUUUUACUUCUUGUUUUUAUCAUUGUGAGGGUAUGUAGCUCUAGUGUUUUGCUAUGUUUACUAAUGAGUGAUUGAAUCAUUGGCCUAUGGUGAUUUGAAUGCAAUCCCUAGUUCCUCUGUCCUUUCCCCAGGGGCAAGGUAGAAAUGAAAGUUUCAAUCCUCUAAUCACCUGGUUGGUUCCCUUGGCAACCAGUCCCCAUUCUUAGGUUACCUAGGGGCUCUCCAAAAGUUGCCUCAUUAUUGUAAAUUCAGGUGUGGUUGAAAAGGCAUUUGUUAUGAAUAAGGCAACGACCAUGUCACCUUUAUACUCUGAAUAUAUUUCAAAUAUUAUAACAAAAUAUGCCUCUAUUGUUCUUACCCCUUAGGAAAUUUCAUGAUCUUAGGAAUCUUAGGAACUAUGACAAAGGAGCUAGGACAGAAGACCAAAAUACACACAUAUUAUAAAUCUCAGUAUUACA
Long non-coding RNA from Phyllostomus discolor (pale spear-nosed bat), 1342 nucleotides. RefSeq lists it as uncharacterized. The transcript is spliced from 2 exons. The record is from RefSeq and is a predicted model, not a curated record. Lineage: Eukaryota; Metazoa; Chordata; Mammalia; Chiroptera; Phyllostomidae.